This 463-nucleotide ribosomal RNA is filed under the name uncultured bacterium. RNAcentral's name for it is "partial 16S ribosomal RNA". It matches the Rfam family "Bacterial small subunit ribosomal RNA", at positions 30 to 507 of the family's 1533-position model. The record is from RNAcentral.
CGACCGCUGGCGGCGUGCUUAACACAUGCACGUCGAACGGAAAGGCCCUGCUUGCAGGGUCCUCGAGUGGCGAACGGGUGCGUAACACGUGGGUGAUCUGCCCUGCACUUCGGGAUAAGCCUGGGAAACUGGGUCUAAUACCGGAUAGGAGCCAUUUUUAGUGUGAUGGUUGGAAAGUUUUUUCGGUGUAGGAUGAGCUCGCGGCCUAUCAGCUUGUUGGUGGGGUAAUGGCCUACCAAGGCGGCGACGGGUAGCCGGCCUGAGAGGGUGGACGGCCACAUUGGGACUGAGAUACGGCCCAGACUCCUACGGGAGGCAGCAGUGGGGAAUAUUGCACAAUGGGCGCAAGCCUGAUGCAGCGACGCCGCGUGGGGGAUGACGGCCUUCGGGUUGUAAACUCCUUUCGCUAGGGACGAAGCUUUUUGUGACGGUACCUAGAUAAGAAGCACCGGCUAACUACGUG